This 537-nucleotide ribosomal RNA is filed under the name uncultured bacterium. Its description in RNAcentral is "bacterial SSU rRNA". It matches the Rfam family "Bacterial small subunit ribosomal RNA", at positions 8 to 523 of the family's 1533-position model. The record is from RNAcentral.
AGAGUUUGAUCCUGGCUCAGAACGAACGCUGGCGGCGUGCUUAACACAUGCAAGUCGAACGGGAUCCAGAGCUUGCUCUGGUGAGAGUGGCGCACGGGUGAGUAACGCGUGGAUAACCUGCCCUGGUAUCCGGAAUAACAUCUCGAAAGGGGUGCUAAUACCGGAUAAGCCUACGGAGCCUUCGGUCUCUGCAGGAAAAGGUGGCCUCUAUUUAUAAGCUACCGUAUCAGGAUGGGUCCGCGUACCAUUAGCUAGUUGGUGGGGUAAUGGCCUACCAAGGCGACUAUGGUUAGCUGGUCUGAGAGGAUGAUCAGCCACACUGGAACUGAGACACGGUCCAGACUCCUACGGGAGGCAGCAGUGGGGAAUUUUGCGCAAUGGGGGAAACCCUGACGCAGCAACGCCGCGUGAGUGAUGAAGGCUUUCGGGUCGUAAAGCUCUGUCAGAGGGGAAGAAAUGAGAUUGGCUAAUAUCCAAUUUUCUUGACGGUACCCUCAAAGGAAGCACCGGCUAACUCCGUGCCAGCAGCCGCGGUAA